AUGCUUCCUAAUGCUUAUUUAACUAGAAUAUUGACGCAUGAUUGUUUUGUGUCCAUUUUGUGACUGUCCAUUACUCAUAUACUUAAAUUAUCUAACCUGCUACUGAUAUCUCAAUUGGAAUUUCCGAAAGGUUCAAACCUCCUGCAUAAAGGAAAAGUAGCUUGUGAUUACAAAUGAGACAGCUGCACAUCAGUAUCUUGAUGAGACAGAUGGCAUGUGAUUUUAUAUCUGUAAAUGUUGUACAUGGGUCUAGAAAGGGGAAAAACAAUAUAAUUAACUGUUGCCGGCCAGGAGACUGUGUGUGGGAGAGAGGAGGCUCUGUCUUCCUUAAAGGUGUAGUGUUCACAAUUUGCGAAGCAAUUUUUAUUUCUGAGAAAUACAGUUAUGAUAGGAAGUUGUCAGUCAACGGAAUACACAUGACAAGAGGCUGCUCGACAUGGUUAUCAGUGAUCACAUUGUUCGUUUAUUCAGACUGCUUCAGUCUCAAGGCAUACAGACAGGUCAGUUGAGGAUUAACGAGUGAAAAGCAAUGCCAUCCUGUCCAAUUUGCUUAGAAGAAAUGCUGCAAGAGCCAGCAGCAUGUAUCCCGUGUGGACAUACCUUUUGCUUCAGUUGCAUAACUGCGUGGAUGGAACAUGAUCCUCUCUCCAUCCUACCUCCUUGUCCCCAGUGCCGCUUGCCAAUUCGUGAAGUGACACAGAUUUUUAUCUUAGAUUUGCCAGUGUUGACAAAGAAGGAGCAGGAGGCAAGUGGGUGGAGGGGUGCCUGGAUGCACUUCCGGCAGGAUGUCCUCUGCUUUGCUAAUUACAUGAGGCGACAUUCUACACUCUUGUCUCUUAUUUCAUGGAAUGGCCUAGAAGGCAGAAGAAUAACUUUACAAGAACCGGCGCUUAAUAGCUGUCAUUGUGCUGCUAGUCCUUCUUCUGUUAGUUCAAGAUGCUGUGUUUGAGGAUGGACUUAACCGAGGGAUUUUCAUUUCUGUUAUCCUUCUCGUCUUCGAUGCCAUGAGUCAUGUGACUAUUGCUGCUGCCAAUAUACUGGUGCGACCGUUUCCAUGCCUUUGUUCCUGUGGACUUGAAAUUAUAAUGGCACUCACAGACAUUAUUUAUAAUCUUUUGAGACUUGUUGUCUUGGUUGGUUUCGAUUUGGUUUGUAUCCCAUGGCAACUACUAGGAAUGCGCUUGCAGCUAUCAAUAUUAUUAUUGAAUAUUUUUAUCAUAUCUUUUUCUUUGUUUUUUGCCUUACUUUAGUAUAGUUCGUUCUUCCUAUCUUUAUUUUAUUCUGUUUUAUAAUUUAGCUAUACAGAGAUAUUAAUUACAGGCGCGCAAUUAUUGGAUCAGAGUUCUUGGGAAAAACUGUAAAACACUCUUGGAACACUCUGGGGUCACUUAUACUUUUAUAUUUUAAAUUUAUAUGUGUUAAAGAAAGCACAUUAUUUUACCAUUUUCAUUCGAAUUUCAAAGAAAAUUCUGUGUUUAUAUGUACAUAACUUAUUUUUGAAUGAUAGCAAUUUUUGGUAGCUUCUAUUUGAAGCUUGGUCAACAAAAAAGUAUAGCGUAAAGUAUAGUAUAACUAAAUAUGGAAAAAUUUUGAAACCAUUGUGCCAGCAGUCAAACAAACCAAUGUACCUCAUCAAAACUGGGAGGAGCACUAGGUUUAGUAAUGAAACUGUACAAUUCACUGGUUUGAUUUCCCUGAAAUUUUUUUUCAACAUCUCAACACUGUUCAUACAUUCUUGGUGAAAGAAUCCAAAACUUUAAAGUAUUUAAUUGUCAAACAAUGGACGGAAUUAUUCUUAUAAAUGUUAACAGCAGUAAGUCAGUAGCAAUAAACAUUUUGUUUAUAACAAUAACACAAUAAUAAAGGAUAACUGAAAACUAGAAUAAAAUAUCAAGUAUUUGUAUGCUGCAAAUAUAAAAUAUGCAAGACUAAUUUUAUAAACUUUUCGCAACAUAAGUUGUUUGUUUUUCGCAAUAAAAGGACGGAUUCGGUAAACCAAAACGAGAAAAUAUCACAGCUGACACUUAUCAGGAAUUAUCUUCUUCUUCCUUUUCCUAAUCGCCCCCAGUGGAGCAUAGGGCCGCAACUACACCCGCCAUCGGACCCGGUUCUGACCUUCUCAAUAAGAAAUUACAUAAAUAUAUAAUUAUAUACAAUUGUAAAUUGGUAUUGCUUUUCCCAUCACUGAGCAUCUACACAUAUAUACAAUAAUUAAUUUACAUUGGUAUAUAAUUAUUACGCUGCAAAAAAAAUAAAUAAAUAAAUCAGUACUGUUCGUGUCGAAAUUAAUUCUUGAACAAGAAGACAAGCAUGAUCGGUAACAGAGUCACGUGCAGGUCACUCGAAAGGUCGCCUGGACAGAAAUACAAUCUCAUUAGACAGAUGUGUCUGCUAAGAUGAAUUGAUUGCUUUUGUUUAUUUGCUGCUACACAAUCAUGGAAAACCUGUUCUUGUUAUAACUAAAACCAUAAAUGAUGUUUAUACUGUGCACUACGGAUAAAUUUUACUAUUCCGGGAAAACCUACCUCCUGCAGAAUGUUCACUGAAGAUAGGAUGCCUACCGACUCUUGUAAUGUCAGGUAGUAAACCUGAAGUCAAAAAUAAUAAAUGAUAAAAUUUUAAAGUCAUCGUAAAAAUCCUGUCAAUCCCUCAUCAAUACAUGAAGAUUAAAACUUGAUUUUGCAUGAGCCAAUUUUUUUUUUUGCACCUGGAGCUACAUGUGCUGGACCACUGCUAGAUAAAUAGUACUAUCUCAAGCUUACUUGUUAAACUUUUACAACCUGUAUUGUUUACUUUGGCGGUAUUUAUUUUGUCGCCACCAACUGAUACCUUUCUUGGGAUGAAAGUGGCAUGAAGUACUGUCGGACUCUGAGGUCCCUGACAUCCGACAUGUAUACUUCCCCGCGUGUUUCGUAGUGGCGUGCGGUAUCCGGAUGGUCACUUGGUCUGUGGCGACAUUGUCGUAAGUGAAACCAUCCAGAACAGUGCACUGCAACUUUUCGCGAUUCCAGAAGCAGCUGACAACACUUUCUGGAAAGAGAUUUACAAGAUGUGUCUGAAAAGUAACGGGACUGGUGUCACAAACAAUUUAUUAUAAUUCCCUACAACAAACUAGAUGGUUUCGCCUUCAAAGUAAUAUCAUGACAUCUGAGUUGUUGACUUUAUGUGCAAGAUGAUGUUUUUAGCCGUGUAUCUCGCCAACAAAACUUGUAUACUUGAUUUAAGGAAACAGUAUAUUGCACUCAGCUUUACCAAAUAAAGCACCUGGAUGUACAACUUUUUGAAUGAACAGAGAUAGAGUUGCUGGAAGGAGGAACAAAAGAGAAACAGACAAUUGGAAGGACCUGCAGGAUGGUGUCCGACGUGAUGAUGUACAGUGAAGUUCUUCUUGGUCUGACUAAUGUUUGUUGUUGUUGAUGAUGAUAGCAAAAGUUCAAAGCUUCCUACUCCAUUGAAGGCGAGCUCAGUGUUUAUUUGCUUAACCCCCUCAAAAAAAA
RNAcentral lists this long non-coding RNA (3497 nucleotides) under Pomacea canaliculata. Its description in RNAcentral is "uncharacterized LOC112568290". The record is from RNAcentral. Lineage: Eukaryota; Metazoa; Mollusca; Gastropoda; Architaenioglossa; Ampullariidae.